Molecule: non-coding RNA, 131 nt
Organism: Acanthosepion pharaonis
Lineage: Eukaryota; Metazoa; Mollusca; Cephalopoda; Sepiida; Sepiidae
Source: the annotation of a GenBank genome assembly
UUACGGCCACAUCACGUUGAAAGACCGGUUCCGCAUCACAUUGCAACAACGUACGAUUACCGAAGUUAAGCAACAUCGAGCCUGGUCAGUACUUAGAUGGGUGACCGAAUGGAAAUCCCAGGUGAUGUAAG